Molecule: long non-coding RNA, 504 nt
Filed under: Ornithorhynchus anatinus (platypus)
Lineage: Eukaryota; Metazoa; Chordata; Mammalia; Monotremata; Ornithorhynchidae
Description: lncRNA (ENSOANG00000043995.1)
Source: RNAcentral
GGAAGAAGAAAUAAGUUUUAGAAUAUUUUUUGAGAAAAAGACCAUUUCCCAAAUGACAUGUUAUAAUUUAUUAGAAACUCCAAAGCUAAUGAAGACUAAUCAUCCCAUUUGGACACCGUUCUUCCCCACACUUUAUUGGCUUCAAGAACAAAGCGUGCACCUAGAGAAACAGUGGAUUUUUGCACUAAAGCGACCAAAGAUUGAAAUCUGUGCUGGAGGAUGGAGGGGGAGCUAAAUCCGGGCAUCCAUCCCCACCCUCUCCGGACUGGAGGAUGGGAGCGAGCAGCUGCAGGUAAUGAUCGUCUUGAGAUGGGAAGCACGAGGGACCAGAGCACGUGGAUCCCCUCCAUCCUGGUGUUAAAGCUGGGGUUUCAGCCUUCCUGGGAGACCCUGGCCAAACCGACCUGAGCGAAGCAACGGGGCUUAGUGGAAAGACCACGGUUUGGGAGUCAGAGGACCUGAGUUCUAAUCCCCGCUCCAUCACUUGUCUGCUGCAUGCCCUUG